RNAcentral lists this microRNA (23 nucleotides) under Ornithorhynchus anatinus (platypus). Its description in RNAcentral is "oan-miR-150-3p". Its record names the gene oan-miR-150-3p. Lineage: Eukaryota; Metazoa; Chordata; Mammalia; Monotremata; Ornithorhynchidae. The record is from miRBase by way of RNAcentral.
CCUGGUACGGGGCCGUGGGAGAG